AAAACAAACUCACGUGUGAACUUGAUUUUCCUUCCACUUUUAGAAGACUUGAGGGAAGCUGCAACAUAUAGUUGGGGGGGGAGCAUGCUUAGUCUUUCUUUACCAGGAAUUAUGUCGUGUUGCAGUCACUAAACAAAGGAGAUUUCAGGGCAACUAUUCUUGUUGCAGAUCUAGGCCUGGCAGAGAUUUAAAAUAAUAUCUCCAUCAUUAAAAGAUCCAUUAACACCUGAUGAUGCACCACUAGGUGCUAGGUGGAGUCAGGCUAGACAAAUUACUGAAUUGACAACCCAUAUACUACCACAAAUCUGAUUACAUGGGAACCAUAUACCGAUGAAUUGUUAGAUGAGCUUCUAGACAUUUGUGUUUAAGGCUGUCCCAUCUGGAAGGCAGUGGUGCCAUUAGUUUGCUUUCGUAUUGUUGAAUGGCACCACCUGGUAAGGUGCUUCGCCAGUUUGGAUUGGUUCAACCUAUUCCACGGCCACCGAUGCAAACAAACAAGUUGCACAAGAUUACUCUCUGAUUGAGUGAGAGUAAUUGGGAGCACCACUAUGCCACCUACAUUAAUCGCUAGAAUAGGCGACAACAAUUUAUUGUUCAGGGGCAACAAAUGAUACAGCCACUCCACCAUCAUUUUGAAUAUAUGGAGUAGUACCGCUGAGUUGCUAGACGUUGGAUCUCAAUCAGUGGAGCUGCUAUUGGUUCUGCGGAGGAUGAAAUUGAG
Molecule: unclassified non-coding RNA, 721 nt
Filed under: Hevea brasiliensis (rubber tree)
Lineage: Eukaryota; Viridiplantae; Streptophyta; Magnoliopsida; Malpighiales; Euphorbiaceae
Source: RNAcentral